RNAcentral lists this long non-coding RNA (698 nucleotides) under Aotus nancymaae (Ma's night monkey). RNAcentral describes it as "lncRNA (ENSANAG00000039218.1)". The record is from RNAcentral. Lineage: Eukaryota; Metazoa; Chordata; Mammalia; Primates; Aotidae.
CGCGUGCCUGCCCGUCAUCGGUGUAUCUUCAGAAAAACGCCUGCCUGUGUUCCCUCCUCUUACUCAUUGAACAGGAUCUAUUGCAUUGCUCGAUUUCACAUACUGAACCAACUGGCCUUCUUUCUCUCCUGGACCCAGGCUGAGCAUUGUGGGUCUUCCUGGAUGAGAGACAGAGGCUCUGCAGGGUCGUGCGAUGGGAAGUAAUCGCGCUGGUGUCAAGGUGCCACAUGCUGCCUCACCGGAAGCUGAGCCCACAGGACACCUAGAACAGUCUCGUUCCUGCCACUGAUCACCCCUGGGCUUUUAGUACCGAAACUUCAAAGAACUUACGCAUCUCUUAUUUCACUUUCUAGCAAUAUUUAUACAGAAACAUUUUGUAUUUAUGUCCCCAAAAAUCAAUAAAAGGCUUUUAACAAAACAGCAUAUGGGGAAAGUCUUGAGUCGCACUGCAGGAACAUGAGUAAACGGCUGUGAUAACAUGAGGGUGUUUUGCAAAGUUUGAGGCUCAGCAAAGAGGUGUGUGCAGCCAGGGCGGGGCUGGGGUGCAGGGGGACUUGCAUCCUCCUCGCUCAACCCUGUGUGCAGGAAGCCAUGUGCAUCAAACGGUACAUUCACUUUUAUUUUUUUUUAGAUGAAGUCUUACUCUGUUGCUCAGGCUGGAGUGCAGUGGCAUGAUCUCUGCUCACAGCAAUCUUCGC